UACGGAGGGGGCUAGCGUUGUUCGGAAUUACUGGGCGUAAAGCGUACGUAGGCGGCUUUGUAAGUUAGAGGUGAAAGCCUGAUGCUCAACAUCAGAAUUGCCUUUAAGACUGCAUCGCUUGAAUCGUGGAGAGGUGAGUGGAAUUCCGAGUGUAGAGGUGAAAUUCGUAGAUAUUCGGAAGAACACCAGUGGCGAAGGCGGCUCACUGGACGACUGUUGACGCUGAGGUGCGAAAGCGUGGGGAGCAAACAGG
This 253-nucleotide ribosomal RNA is filed under the name uncultured prokaryote. Its description in RNAcentral is "partial 16S ribosomal RNA". It matches the Rfam family "Bacterial small subunit ribosomal RNA", at positions 524 to 776 of the family's 1533-position model. The record is from RNAcentral.